CUUGGAAUGGUAGAGUGCUUCCCUCAAUGGAUGGAAGGAGACUGGAUCCCUCUGACACUGACUGGAAGAGCUCUGCUAAGCAAAGCUGCGAGCUCAUGAAAGACUGUGAGGAGAGUAAGAGGAAACUUACCAAAGGCUGACUUUGCACCAAGAAUCAUUAUAGGUACUGGAAAAUUUAAAAGAUGAAGGAGGUGGAGUCAUUUUUUCCUAAGGAGCUGGGAGAGGAGAUAAGAAAUGGGAUCAAAUAAUGAACAACAAGUUUCAAAGGGAUCAGAGUCCAAUAAAGUGGCUGUACCAACAUCAGCCUUGAAAGGGCUCAAUCCAGCAGAUCCUGUCCCACUUGGAACCUGGCUAUGAGUGAGAAAACAUCUGUGGUUGGAAAAUGGGGCUGGUGAUUCAGGCCUGUUUGGGAAG
Molecule: long non-coding RNA, 414 nt
Filed under: Homo sapiens (human)
Lineage: Eukaryota; Metazoa; Chordata; Mammalia; Primates; Hominidae
Description: HSALNT0153749
Source: RNAcentral